UGGGGGAUCGUCUAGCGGUAGGACAGCGGACUCUGACUCCGCCAGCCCUGGUUCGAAUCCAGGUCCCCCAGCCA
RNAcentral lists this transfer RNA (74 nucleotides) under Rhodospirillaceae bacterium. Its description in RNAcentral is "tRNA-Gln". It matches the Rfam family "tRNA". Rfam says of the family: Transfer RNA (tRNA) molecules are approximately 80 nucleotides in length. Their secondary structure includes four short double-helical elements and three loops (D, anti-codon, and T loops). Further hydrogen bonds mediate the characteristic L-shaped molecular structure. tRNAs have two regions of fundamental functional importance: the anti-codon, which is responsible for specific mRNA codon recognition, and the 3' end, to which the tRNAs corresponding amino acid is attached (by aminoacyl-tRNA synthetases). tRNAs cope with the degeneracy of the genetic code in two manners: having more than one tRNA (with a specific anti-codon) for a particular amino acid; and 'wobble' base-pairing, i.e. permitting non-standard base-pairing at the 3rd anti-codon position. Lineage: Bacteria; Pseudomonadati; Pseudomonadota; Alphaproteobacteria; Rhodospirillales; Rhodospirillaceae. RNAcentral also lists the same sequence under 1 other name. The record is from RNAcentral.